AUGGCCGGCGAAGACGAGCUGAAGCUGCUGGGUACAUGGGCGAGCCCAUGGGUUUCCAGGGUGAAACUCGCGCUCCACCUCAAGGGCUUGAGCUACGAGUACGUGGAGCAGGACCUCGACAACAAGAGCGACCUCCUCCUCACGUCAAACCCGGUGCACAAGAAGGUGCCAGUGCUCAUCCACAACGGCAAGCCAAUCUGUGAGUCGGUCGUCAUUCUAGAGUACAUCGAUGAGGCCUACGGCACUACAGGCCCCUCCCUCUUGCCCACUGACCCCUACGAAUGUGCCAUUGCUCGGUUCUGGGUAGACUACAUUGACCAGAAGCUAGUCAUCCCGUGGAAAGUGGCGUUCACGGCCGACGGAGAGGAGAAGACAGAGGGGAUAAAGCAUAUGUUGGCGGUGGUGCAGACGCUAGAGGGGGCUCUCAAGGAAUGCUCCAAGGGGAAGCCCUUCUUUGGUGGUGAUAGUGUUGGAUAUGUGGACAUUGCACUAGGCGGUCUCUUGGCAUUUUUGCAAGGAACUGAAGAGCUAUGUGGUACCAAGCCCUUUGACAUCGCCAACACUCCACUUUUGUUGGCAUGGGUGGAGCGCUUCAUCGCGUUGGACGCUGCCAAGGUGGCCCUGCCAGACGUCACCAAGUUGGUUGAGUUUGCCAAGACGAAGCGGGCUCAGAUGGCUUUGUCUAUCAAGAAGUGA
Molecule: ribosomal RNA, 696 nt
Filed under: Triticum aestivum (bread wheat)
Lineage: Eukaryota; Viridiplantae; Streptophyta; Magnoliopsida; Poales; Poaceae
Description: partial small subunit ribosomal RNA
Source: RNAcentral